Molecule: ribosomal RNA, 250 nt
Filed under: uncultured bacterium
Lineage: Bacteria
Description: partial 16S ribosomal RNA
Rfam family: Bacterial small subunit ribosomal RNA
Source: RNAcentral
AUUGAACGCUGGCGGAAUGCUUUACACAUGCAAGUCGAACGGCAGCACGGACUUCGGUCUGGUGGCGAGUGGCGAACGGGUGAGUAAUGCAUCGGAACGUGCCCAAUCGUGGGGGAUAACGUAGCGAAAGUUACGCUAAUACCGCAUACGAUCUAAGGAUGAAAGCGGGGGAUCGCAAGACCUCGCGCGAAUGGAGCGGCCGAUGUUAGAUUAGGUAGUUGGUGGGGUAAAGGCUCACCAAGCCGACGAU